GCAAUUAUACAGCGAAACUGCGAAUGGCUCAUUAUAUAAGUUAUCGUUUAUUUGAUAGUACCUUACUACUUGGAUAACCGUGGUAAUUCUAGAGCUAAUACAUGCUAAAAAUCCCGACUUCGGAAGGGAUGUAUUUAUUAGAUUAAAAACCAAUGCCCUCUGGGCUCUCUGGUGAUUCAUGAUAACUUCUCGAAUCGCAUGGCCUUGCGCCGGCGAUGGUUCAUUCAAAUUUCUUCCCUAUCAACUUUCGAUGUUUGGGUAUUGGCCAAACAUGGUCGCAACGGGUAACGGAGGGUUAGGGCUCGACCCCGGAGAAGGAGCCUGAGAAACGGCUACUACAUCCAAGGAAGGCAGCAGGCGCGCAAAUUACCCAAUCCCGACACGGGGAGGUAGUGACAAUAAAUACUGAUACAGGGCUCUUUCGGGUCUUGUAAUUGGAAUGAGUACAAAUUUAAAUCCCUUAACGAGGAACAAUUGGAGGGCAAGUCUGGUGCCAGCAGCCGCGGUAAUUCCAGCUCCAAUAGCGUAUAUUAAAGUUGUUGUGGUUAAAAAGCUCGUAGUUGAACCUUGGGCCUGGCUGGCCGGUCCGCCUCACCGCGUGUACUGGUCCGGCCGGGCCUUUCCCUCUGUGGAACCUCAUGCCCUUCACUGGGCGUGACGGGGAAACAGGACUUUUACUGUGAAAAAAUUAGAGUGCUCCAGGCAGGCCUAUGCUCGAAUACAUUAGCAUGGAAUAAUGAAAUAGGACGUGCGGUUCUAUUUUGUUGGUUUCUAGGACCGCCGUAAUGAUUAAUAGGGACAGUCGGGGGCAUCAGUAUUCAAUUGUCAGAGGUGAAAUUCUUGGAUUUAUUGAAGACUAACUACUGCGAAAGCAUUUGCCAAGGAUGUUUUCAUUAAUCAGGAACGAAAGUUAGGGGAUCGAAGACGAUCAGAUACCGUCGUAGUCUUAACCAUAAACUAUGCCGACUAGGGAUCGGACGAUUGAAAUAAUUGACUCGUUCGGCACCUUACGAGAAAUCAAAGUGUUUGGGCU
This 1033-nucleotide ribosomal RNA is filed under the name Simplicillium sp. NIOCC 3V. RNAcentral's name for it is "SSU rRNA". It matches the Rfam family "Eukaryotic small subunit ribosomal RNA", at positions 69 to 1113 of the family's 1831-position model. Lineage: Eukaryota; Fungi; Ascomycota; Sordariomycetes; Hypocreales; Cordycipitaceae. The record is from RNAcentral.